AACGCUGGAAAGAGGCCGUCAGCCUCGCCGAAGGAGCAAGAUUCCCUGACCGGAUGUCAGGAUCGGAAUCUCUCAGGCACCGAGACAGCGGGGG
RNAcentral lists this non-coding RNA (94 nucleotides) under uncultured Ponticaulis sp. RNAcentral's name for it is "Glycine riboswitch". It matches the Rfam family "Glycine riboswitch aptamer", at positions 7 to 90 of the family's 94-position model. Rfam says of the family: This family represents the bacterial glycine riboswitch. Glycine riboswitches usually consist of two metabolite-binding aptamers domains with similar structures in tandem. The record is from RNAcentral. Lineage: Bacteria; Pseudomonadati; Pseudomonadota; Alphaproteobacteria; Hyphomonadales; Hyphomonadaceae.